UGGGAAUAUUGCACAAUGGGCGCAAGCCUGAUGCAGCCAUGCCGCGUGUGUGAGAAGGCCUUCGGGUUGUAAAGUACUUUCAGUAGGGAGGAAGGUGGUUAAGUUAAUACCUUAAUCAUUUGACGUUACCUACAGAAGAAGCACCGGCUAACUCCGUGCCAGAACCGCGGUAAA
RNAcentral lists this ribosomal RNA (174 nucleotides) under uncultured Vibrio sp. Its description in RNAcentral is "partial 16S ribosomal RNA". It matches the Rfam family "Bacterial small subunit ribosomal RNA", at positions 356 to 524 of the family's 1533-position model. Lineage: Bacteria; Pseudomonadati; Pseudomonadota; Gammaproteobacteria; Vibrionales; Vibrionaceae. The record is from RNAcentral.